UACAGAGGGUGCAAGCGUUGCUCGGAUUUACUGGGCGUAAAGCGUACGCAGACGGCUUCAAAGGUCGGGUGUGAAAGCCCGGGGCUCAACCCCGGAAUUGCAUCCGAAACCGUGAGGCUCGAGUAUGGGAGAGGGAAGUGGAAUUCCUGGUGUAGAGGUGAAAUUCGUAGAUAUCAGGAGGAACACCUGUGGCGAAGGCGGCUUCCUGGCCCAUUACUGACGUUCAGGUACGAAAGCGUGGGUAGCAAACAGGAUUAGAUACCCUGGUAGUCCACGCUGUAAACGAUGUGUGCUGGAUGUCGGGGGUAUUCACCCCCUCGGUAUCGAAGCUAACGCGAUAAGCACACCGCCUGGGGAGUACGGCCGCAAGGUUG
RNAcentral lists this ribosomal RNA (374 nucleotides) under uncultured prokaryote. RNAcentral's name for it is "bacterial SSU rRNA". It matches the Rfam family "Bacterial small subunit ribosomal RNA", at positions 524 to 896 of the family's 1533-position model. The record is from RNAcentral.